RNAcentral lists this ribosomal RNA (301 nucleotides) under uncultured bacterium. RNAcentral describes it as "partial 16S ribosomal RNA". It matches the Rfam family "Bacterial small subunit ribosomal RNA", at positions 509 to 809 of the family's 1533-position model. The record is from RNAcentral.
CAGUAGCCGCGGUAAAACGUAGGUGGCAAGCGUUGUCCGGAAUUAUUGGGCGUAAAGGGCUCGCAGGCGGUUUCUUAAGUCUGAUGUGAAAGCUCCCGGCUCAACCGGGGAGGGUCAUUGGAAACUGGGAAACUUGAGUGCAGAAGAGGAGAGUGGAAUUCCACGUGUAGCGGUGAAAUGCGUAGAGAUGUGGAGGAACACCAGUGGCGAAGGCGACUCUCUGGUCUGUAACUGACGCUGAGGAGCGAAAGCGUGGGGAGCGAACAGGAUUAGAUACCCCUGUAGUCCCUGUCUCUUAUAA